This 253-nucleotide ribosomal RNA is filed under the name uncultured bacterium. RNAcentral's name for it is "partial 16S ribosomal RNA". It matches the Rfam family "Bacterial small subunit ribosomal RNA", at positions 524 to 776 of the family's 1533-position model. The record is from RNAcentral.
UACGGAGGGUGCAAGCGUUAUCCGGAUUCACUGGGUUUAAAGGGUGCGUAGGCGGUCUUGUAAGUCAGUGGUGAAAGCCCUCGGCUCAACCGAGGAACUGCGCUUGAAACCGGAUGGCUCGAGUCAACUAGAGGUGCACGGAACUUCCAGUGGAGCGGUGAAAUGUGUUGAUAUUGGAAGGAACACCGGAGGCGAAAGCGGUACACUGGGGUUGGUCUGACGCUGAGGCACGAAAGCCAGGGGAGCGAACGGG